GAUGAACGCUGGCGGCGUGCCUAAUACAUGCAAGUCGAACGAGGUGCUUUUGUAGCAAUACGAGAGUAUCCUAGUGGCGAACGGGUGAGUAACGCGUUGGUGACCUACCCCAAAGUGUGGGAUAACAGUUCGAAAGGACUGCUAAUACCGCAUGUGGUUAUCAGGUUUAGAAACUGAUAACUAAAGGAGCAAUUCGCUUUGGGAGGGACCUGCGUCCCAUCAGCUAGUUGGUGAGGUAACGGCUCACCAAGGCUACGACGGGUAGGGGACCUGAGAGGGUGACCCCCCACAAUGGAACUGAAACACGGUCCAUACACCUACGGGUGGCAGCAGUAGGGAAUAUUGCACAAUGGGCGAAAGCCUGAUGCAGCAACGCCGCGUGUGCGAUGAAGGCCUUCGGGUCGUAAAGCACUUUUCUGAGAGAUGAGCAAGGACAGUAUCUCAGGAAUAAGUCUCGGCUAACUACGUGCCAGCAGCCGCGGUAAAACGUAGGAGGCGAGCGUUAUCCGGAUUCACUGGGCGUAAAGCGCGUGCAGGCGGUUCGGUAAGUUGGGUAUGAAAUCUCCCGGCUCAACUGGGAGAGGUUAUCCAAUACUACCGGACUUGAGAGUGAUAGAGGAAGAUGGAAUUCCCGGUGUAGUGGUGAAAUGCGUAGAUAUCGGGAGGAACACCAGUGGCGAAAGCGAUCUUCUGGAUCAUUUCUGACGCUCAGACGCGAAAGCUAGGGUAGUAAACGGGAUUAGAGACCCCGGUAAUCCUAGCCGUAAACGAUGUAAACUUGGCGUCGGUGGCUUAAACACCAUCGGUGCCGCAGCUAACGCGAUAAGUUUACCGCCUGGGGACUACGAUCGCAAGAUUA
Molecule: ribosomal RNA, 859 nt
Filed under: uncultured bacterium
Lineage: Bacteria
Description: bacterial SSU rRNA
Rfam family: Bacterial small subunit ribosomal RNA
Source: RNAcentral